This 377-nucleotide ribosomal RNA is filed under the name uncultured eukaryote. Its description in RNAcentral is "partial 18S ribosomal RNA". It matches the Rfam family "Eukaryotic small subunit ribosomal RNA", at positions 592 to 976 of the family's 1831-position model. The record is from RNAcentral.
CAAUAGCGUAUAUUAAAGUUGUUGCAGUUAAAAAGCUCGUAGUUGGAUUUCGGGGCAGCCUGGCUGGUCCGCCGCAAGGCGAGUACUGGUUAGCCGCCCUUCCUCUCGAAAGCCCCGACUGCUCUUCGUUGCAGUGGUCGGGUAGUUCGGGACGUUUACUUUGAAAAAAUUAGAGUGUUCAAGGCAGGCCUACGCCUGAAUACAUUAGCAUGGAAUAAUGGAAGAGGACCUCGGUCCUAUUUUGUUGGUUUCCAGGGCCGAAGUAAUGAUUAAGAGGGACAGUUGGGGGCAUUCGUAUUUAAUUGUCAGAGGUGAAAUUCUCGGAUUUAUGAAAGACGAACAACUGCGAAAGCAUUUGCCAAGGAUGUUUUCAUUAA